ACCAGGAUGGCCGAGUGGUUAAGGCGUUGGACUUAAGAUCCAAUGGACAAAUGUCCUCGUGGGUUCGUACCCCACUCCUGGUA
Molecule: transfer RNA, 83 nt
Filed under: Danio rerio (zebrafish)
Lineage: Eukaryota; Metazoa; Chordata; Actinopteri; Cypriniformes; Danionidae
Description: tRNA-Leu (TAA) (tRNA-Leu-TAA-19-1)
Rfam family: tRNA
About the family: Transfer RNA (tRNA) molecules are approximately 80 nucleotides in length. Their secondary structure includes four short double-helical elements and three loops (D, anti-codon, and T loops).
Source: Rfam by way of RNAcentral